This 271-nucleotide signal recognition particle RNA is filed under the name Homo sapiens (human). Its description in RNAcentral is "Metazoan signal recognition particle RNA". It matches the Rfam family "Metazoan signal recognition particle RNA". Rfam says of the family: The signal recognition particle (SRP) is a universally conserved ribonucleoprotein. It is involved in the co-translational targeting of proteins to membranes. The eukaryotic SRP consists of a 300-nucleotide 7S RNA and six proteins: SRPs 72, 68, 54, 19, 14, and 9. The record is from Rfam by way of RNAcentral. Lineage: Eukaryota; Metazoa; Chordata; Mammalia; Primates; Hominidae.
GCUGGUCGUGGUGGCGGGUGCCUGUAGUCCCAGCUACUUGGGAAGCUGAGGCAGGAGAAUCGCUUGAACCAGGGAGUUAGAGGUUGCAGUGAACUGAGAUCACGCCACUGCACUCCAGCCUGGAGACAGAGUGAGACUCCGUCUCAAAAAAAAAAAAAAAGAUACUUUUGAGACGGAGUUUUCCUCUUAUUGCCCAGGCUGGAGUGCAGUGGCGCGAUCUUGGCUCACUACAACCUCCACCUCCCAGGUUCAAGCAAUUCUCCUGCCUCAG